This 428-nucleotide ribosomal RNA is filed under the name uncultured Bacillota bacterium. Its description in RNAcentral is "bacterial SSU rRNA". It matches the Rfam family "Bacterial small subunit ribosomal RNA", at positions 958 to 1385 of the family's 1533-position model. Lineage: Bacteria; Bacillati; Bacillota. The record is from RNAcentral.
AACGCGAAGAACCUUACCAGGUCUUGACAUCCUCUGACAAUCCUAGAGAUAGGACGUUCCCCUUCGGGGGACAGAGUGACAGGUGGUGCAUGGUUGUCGUCAGCUCGUGUCGUGAGAUGUUGGGUUAAGUCCCGCAACGAGCGCAACCCUUGUCCUUAGUUGCCAGCAUUCAGUUGGGCACUCUAAGGAGACUGCCGGUGACAAACCGGAGGAAGGUGGGGAUGACGUCAAAUCAUCAUGCCCCUUAUGACCUGGGCUACACACGUGCUACAAUGGAUGGUACAAAGGGCUGCGAGACCGCGAGGUUUAGCCAAUCCCAUAAAACCAUUCUCAGUUCGGAUUGUAGGCUGCAACUCGCCUACAUGAAGCCGGAAUCGCUAGUAAUCGUGGAUCAGCAUGCCACGGUGAAUACGUUCCCGGGCCUUGUA